AAGCCGGGUUACGGUGCCCAACUGCGCGCUAACCUAGAUCCCACAAAGGGUGUUGGUCGAUUAAGACAGCAGGACGGUGGUCAUGGAAGUCGAAAUCCGCUAAGGAGUGUGUAACAACUCACCUGCCCGAAUCAACUAGCCCCGGAAAAUGGAUGGCGCUUAAGCGCGCGACCUAUACCCGGCCGUCGGGGGCAAGAGCUAGGCCCGAUG
Molecule: non-coding RNA, 210 nt
Filed under: Ipomoea nil (Japanese morning glory)
Lineage: Eukaryota; Viridiplantae; Streptophyta; Magnoliopsida; Solanales; Convolvulaceae
Description: Eukaryotic large subunit ribosomal RNA
Rfam family: Eukaryotic large subunit ribosomal RNA
Source: Rfam by way of RNAcentral